UAGAUUCUCCUGAUUUGUUUGUCCUCUGCCUCUGUUCUUUGCAGUCAUGUCAGACGUCGAAGAAGAGUACGAGGAGCAGGAGGCUGAAGAGGAGGUGGAGCCUGAGGAAGAGGAGGAUGAAGAGCAGCGGGUGGAGGUAGAGGAAGAUGAAGGUAGGUCAGGGAAAUAC
This is a long non-coding RNA of Notothenia coriiceps (black rockcod), 169 nucleotides long. RefSeq lists it as uncharacterized. NCBI's taxonomy places the organism in Eukaryota, Metazoa, Chordata, Actinopteri, Perciformes, Nototheniidae. The record is from RefSeq and is a predicted model, not a curated record. The transcript has 3 exons.